RNAcentral lists this ribosomal RNA (252 nucleotides) under uncultured bacterium. RNAcentral describes it as "partial 16S ribosomal RNA". It matches the Rfam family "Bacterial small subunit ribosomal RNA", at positions 524 to 776 of the family's 1533-position model. The record is from RNAcentral.
UACGGAGGAUGCGAGCGUUAUCCGGAUUUAUUGGGUUUAUAGGGUGCGCAGGCGGAUUUUUAAGUCAGCGGUCAAAUCGUGGGGCUCAACCCCAUCCAGCCGUUGAAACUGGGGAUCUAGAGUGUGCGAGAGGUAUGCGGAAUGCGUGGUGUAGCGGUGAAAUGCAUAGAUAUCACGCAGAACCCCGAUUGCGAAGGCAGCAUACCGGUGCACAACUGACGCUCAGGCACGAAAGCGUGGGUAUCGAACAGG